Molecule: ribosomal RNA, 550 nt
Filed under: bacterium BaC1-56
Lineage: Bacteria
Description: bacterial SSU rRNA
Rfam family: Bacterial small subunit ribosomal RNA
Source: RNAcentral
CGGACGGGUGAGUAAUGUCUGGGAAACUGCCUGAUGGAGGGGGAUAACUACUGGAAACGGUAGCUAAUACCGCAUAACGUCGCAAGACCAAAGAGGGGGACCUUCGGGCCUCUUGCCAUCAGAUGUGCCCAGAUGGGAUUAGCUAGUAGGUGGGGUAACGGCUCACCUAGGCGACGAUCCCUAGCUGGUCUGAGAGGAUGACCAGCCACACUGGAACUGAGACACGGUCCAGACUCCUACGGGAGGCAGCAGUGGGGAAUAUUGCACAAUGGGCGCAAGCCUGAUGCAGCCAUGCCGCGUGUAUGAAGAAGGCCUUCGGGUUGUAAAGUACUUUCAGCGGGGAGGAAGGUGUUGAGGUUAAUAACCUCGUCAAUUGACGUUACCCGCAGAAGAAGCACCGGCUAACUCCGUGCCAGCAGCCGCGGUAAUACGGAGGGUGCAAGCGUUAAUCGGAAUUACUGGGCGUAAAGCGCACGCAGGCGGUCUGUCAAGUCGGAUGUGAAAUCCCCGGGCUCAACCUGGGAACUGCAUUCGAAACUGGCAGGCUAGA